Molecule: ribosomal RNA, 834 nt
Filed under: Bryochiton monascus
Lineage: Eukaryota; Fungi; Ascomycota; Dothideomycetes; Pseudoperisporiaceae
Description: LSU rRNA
Rfam family: Eukaryotic large subunit ribosomal RNA
Source: RNAcentral
UGCCCUAGUAACGGCGAGUGAAGCGGCAACAGCUCAAAUUUGAAAUCUGGCGCAAGCCCGAGUUGUAAUUUGGAGAGGAUGCUUCUGGGCAGCGGCCGGUCUAAGUUCCUUGGAACAGGACGUCAUAGAGGGUGAGAAUCCCGUAUGCGACCGGUUGGCACCCGUCACGUAGCUCCUUCGACGAGUCGAGUUGUUUGGGAAUGCAGCUCUAAAUGGGUGGUAAAUUCCAUCUAAAGCUAAAUACCGGCCAGAGACCGAUAGCGCACAAGUAGAGUGAUCGAAAGAUGAAAAGCACUUUGGAAAGAGAGUUAAACAGCACGUGAAAUUGUUGAAAGGGAAGCGCAUGCAACCAGACUUGUCGGCGGUGUUCCGCCGGUCUUCUGACCGGUCUACUCGCCGCCGGCAGGCCAGCAUCGUGUGGGUGCGCCGGAUAAAGGCGCCGGGAAUGUGGCCCCUCGGGGUGUUAUAGCCCGGCGCACAAUACGGUGCCGCCCGCGCGAGGUCCGCGCUUCGGCUAGGAUGCUGGCGUAAUGGUCGUAUGCGGCCCGUCUUGAAACACGGACCAAGGAGUCUAACAUCUAUGCGAGUGUUCGGGUGUCAAACCCCUACGCGGAAUGAAAGUGAACGGAGGUGGGAACCCUCACGGGUGCACCAUCGACCGAUCCUGAUGUCUUCGGAUGGAUUUGAGUAAGAGCAUAGCUGUUGGGACCCGAAAGAUGGUGAACUAUGCCUGAAUAGGGUGAAGCCAGAGGAAACUCUGGUGGAGGCUCGCAGCGGUUCUGACGUGCAAAUCGAUCGUCAAAUUUGGGUAUAGGGGCGAAAGACUAAUCGAAC